Molecule: non-coding RNA, 120 nt
Organism: Halanaerobium praevalens DSM 2228
Lineage: Bacteria; Bacillati; Bacillota; Clostridia; Halanaerobiales; Halanaerobiaceae
Source: Rfam
GAGGGACGGCCCCUCAAAAUCGGUAUUUAGGUACUGAUUUUAAAUCACCUUAUGGUGCUGUUAACUAAAAAUAAUGGUGCUGAGCGAUAAGGAAAAGGCAAAACUUAAGAUUUUGUCAGA